UGGGGAAUAUUGGACAAUGGGCGAAAGCCUGAUCCAGCCAUGCCGCGUGUGUGAAGAAGGUCUUCGGAUUGUAAAGCACUUUAAGUUGGGAGGAAGGGCAUUAACCUAAUACGUUAGUGUUUUGACGUUACUGACAGAAUAAGCACCGGCUAACUCUGUGCCAGCAGCCGCGGUAAUACAGAGGGUGCAAGCGUUAAUCGGAAUUACUGGGCGUAAAGCGCGCGUAGGUGGUUUGUUAAGUUGGAUGUGAAAUCCCCGGGCUCAACCUGGGAACUGCAUUCAAAACUGACUGACUAGAGUAUGGUAGAGGGUGGUGGAAUUUCCUGUGUAGCGGUGAAAUGCGUAGAUAUAGGAAGGAACACCAGUGGCGAAGGCGACCACCUGGACUAAUACUGACACUGAGGUGCGAAAGCGUGGGGAGCAAACA
This 427-nucleotide ribosomal RNA is filed under the name uncultured bacterium. Its description in RNAcentral is "partial 16S ribosomal RNA". It matches the Rfam family "Bacterial small subunit ribosomal RNA", at positions 355 to 774 of the family's 1533-position model. The record is from RNAcentral.